RNAcentral lists this transfer RNA (74 nucleotides) under Streptomyces phage Tomas. Its description in RNAcentral is "tRNA-Asp". It matches the Rfam family "tRNA". Rfam says of the family: Transfer RNA (tRNA) molecules are approximately 80 nucleotides in length. Their secondary structure includes four short double-helical elements and three loops (D, anti-codon, and T loops). Lineage: Duplodnaviria; Heunggongvirae; Uroviricota; Caudoviricetes; Stanwilliamsviridae. The record is from RNAcentral.
GCAUCUGUAGUUCAGCGGUUAGAGCACUGCCCUGUCAAGGCAGAAGUCGCGGGUUCGAAUCCCGUCAGGUGCGC